AUUGAACGCUGGCGGCAUGCUUUACACAUGCAAGUCGAACGGUAACAGGCCUUCGGGUGCUGACGAGUGGCGAACGGGUGAGUAAUGCAUCGGAACGUGCCCAAUCGUGGGGGAUAACGUAGCGAAAGUUACGCUAAUACCGCAUAAGCCCUGAGGGGGAAAGCAGGGGAUCGCAAGACCUUGCGCGAAUGGAGCGGCCGAUGUCAGAUUAGCUAGUUGGUGGGGUAAAGGCCUACCAAGGCGACGAUCUGUAGCGGGUCUGAGAGGAUGAUCCGCCACACUGGGACUGAGACACGGCCCAGACUCCUACGGGAGGCAGCAGUGGGGAAUUUUGGGACAAUGGGCGCAAGCCUGAUCCAGCCAUGCCGCGUGCGGGACGAAGGCCUC
RNAcentral lists this ribosomal RNA (387 nucleotides) under uncultured bacterium. RNAcentral describes it as "bacterial SSU rRNA". It matches the Rfam family "Bacterial small subunit ribosomal RNA", at positions 29 to 418 of the family's 1533-position model. The record is from RNAcentral.